GACGAACGCUGGCGGCGUGCUUAACACAUGCAAGUCGAACGAUGAAGCUGGAGCUUGCUCCGGUGGAUUAGUGGCGAACGGGUGAGUAACACGUGAGAAAUCUGCCCUUGACUCUGGGAUAACUGCGGGAAACUGUAGCUAAUACCGGAUACUUUCCUCGGUGGGCAUCCACUGGGGAAGAAAGAAUUUCGGUCAAGGAUGAUCUCGCGGCCUAUCAGCUAGGUGGUGAGGUAAUGGCUCACCAAGGCGACGACUGGUAGCCGGCCUGAGAGGGUGACCGGCCACACUGGGACUGAGACACGGCCCAGACUCCUACGGGAGGCAGCAGUGGGGAAUAUUGCACAAUGGGCGCAAGCCUGAUGCAGCAACGCCGCGUGAGGGAUGAAGGCCUUCGGGUUGUAAACCUCUUUUAGCAGGGAAGGAGCGAAAGUGACGGUACCUGCAGAAAAAGCACCGGCUAACUACGUGCCAGCAGCCGCCGUAA
Molecule: ribosomal RNA, 484 nt
Filed under: uncultured bacterium
Lineage: Bacteria
Description: partial 16S ribosomal RNA
Rfam family: Bacterial small subunit ribosomal RNA
Source: RNAcentral